Molecule: ribosomal RNA, 373 nt
Filed under: Hemiselmis andersenii
Lineage: Eukaryota; Cryptophyceae; Cryptomonadales; Hemiselmidaceae
Description: partial Eukaryotic large subunit ribosomal RNA
Rfam family: Eukaryotic large subunit ribosomal RNA
Source: RNAcentral
GAUCUCAAAUCGGGUAGGAACACCCGCUGAACUUAAGCAUAUCAUUAAGCGGAGGAAAAGAAACUAACUAGGAUUCCCGUAGUAGCGGCGAGCGAAAAGGGAGAAGCUCAAGAUAAAAUCUGAAAGCGUCGUUUUCAGAUAUUUAAUCUAUAAAGGUGCGAUUGAAUUUUUCUUAAAUCAAAGUCUCCUGGAAGGGAGCACCAGAGAGGGUGAUAGUCCCGUUAAUGAUUUUUUGAAAUUAUUCAGAGACGCACGCCUGAAGAGUCGAGUUGCUUGGGAGUGCAGCUCAAAUUGGGUGGUAUACUUCAUCCAAAGCUAAAUACGGGCGAGAGACCGAUAGCGAACAAGCACUGUGAAGGAAAGAUGGAAAGAA